This 253-nucleotide ribosomal RNA is filed under the name uncultured bacterium. RNAcentral's name for it is "partial 16S ribosomal RNA". It matches the Rfam family "Bacterial small subunit ribosomal RNA", at positions 524 to 776 of the family's 1533-position model. The record is from RNAcentral.
UACAGAGGGGGCAAGCGUUGUUCGGAAUUACUGGGCGUAAGGGGCGCGUAGGCGGCCCGCUAAGUCGAACGUGAAAUCCCCGAGCUCAACUCGGGAACUGCGUCCGAUACUGGCGGGCUUGAAUCCGGGAGAGGGAUGCGGAAUUCCAGGUGUAGCGGUGAAAUGCGUAGAUAUCUGGAGGAACACCGGUGGCGAAGGCGGCAUCCUGGACCGGCAUUGACGCCGAGGCGCGAAAGCUAGGGGAGCAAACGGG